RNAcentral lists this unclassified non-coding RNA (27 nucleotides) under Mus musculus (house mouse). Its description in RNAcentral is "oocyte_clustered_small_RNA10279". Lineage: Eukaryota; Metazoa; Chordata; Mammalia; Rodentia; Muridae. The record is from RNAcentral.
UGUGUCACACCUCCUCCGGACAACACG